UAAUAAGUGUUUUAUGGCACUUUUUAAAUCCAUAUCCACCUUGUGUGCAAUGUCAGUCGAUCUUCUUCAUGGAGAUCGACCAAACAUCAACCUUUAUCUUUUAACUCUUUGUCUGAAAAAUAUCAUGAAUAAACAAUUCAAAAUA
RNAcentral lists this unclassified non-coding RNA (145 nucleotides) under soil metagenome. RNAcentral describes it as "partial internal transcribed spacer 1". The record is from RNAcentral.